This 254-nucleotide ribosomal RNA is filed under the name uncultured bacterium. RNAcentral's name for it is "partial 16S ribosomal RNA". It matches the Rfam family "Bacterial small subunit ribosomal RNA", at positions 524 to 776 of the family's 1533-position model. The record is from RNAcentral.
UACGGAGGGCGCGAGCGUUGUCCGGAAUCACUGGGCGUAAAGGGCGCGUAGGCGGCCCUGGUAAGUCUGCGGUGAAAGCCCGGGGCUCAACCCCGGGUCGGCCGCGGGUACUGCCGGGCUGGAGUGCCGUAGGGGCAGGCGGAAUUCCGGGUGUAGCGGUGGAAUGCGUAGAGAUCCGGAAGAACACCGGUGGCGAAGGCGGCCUGCUGGGCGGCGACUGACGCUGAGGAGCGAAAGCAUGGGGAGCGAACAGG